AACGUAGGAGGCAAGCGUUAUCCGGAUUCAUUGGGCGUAAAGCGCGUGCAGGCGGUGCUCUAAGUUGGACGUGAAAGCUCUCGGCCUAACUGAGAGAGGCCGUUCAAUACUGGAGCACUUGAGGGCGGAAGAGGGAAGUGGAAUUCCCGGUGUAGCGGUGGAAUGCGUAGAUAUCGGGAGGAACACCAGUGGCGAAGGCGGCCUCCUGGGCUGUUACUGACGCUGAGCCCGAAAGCAUGGGGAGCAAACAGGAUUAGAUACCCGUGUA
This 268-nucleotide ribosomal RNA is filed under the name uncultured prokaryote. RNAcentral describes it as "partial 16S ribosomal RNA". It matches the Rfam family "Bacterial small subunit ribosomal RNA", at positions 524 to 792 of the family's 1533-position model. The record is from RNAcentral.